ACAGGGAUUGCCCUAGUAACGGCGAGUGAAGCGGCAACAGCUCAAAUUUGAAAUCUGGCUCUUUCAGGGUCCGAGUUGUAAUUUGCAGAGGGCGCUUUGGCGUUGGCAGCGGUCCAAGUUCUUUGGAACAGGACGUCACAGAGGGUGAGAAUCCCGUACGUGGUCGCUAGCCUUCGCCGUGUAAAGCCCCUUCGACGAGUCGAGUUGUUUGGGAAUGCAGCUCUAAAUGGGAGGUAAAUUUCUUCUAAAGCUAAAUACUGGCCAGAGACCGAUAGCGCACAAGUAGAGUGAUCGAAAGAUGAAAAGCACUUUGGAAAGAGAGUCAAAUAGCACGUGAAAUUGUUGAAAGGGAAGCGCUUGCAGCCAGACUUGCCUGUAGUUGCUUAUCCGGACUUUUGUCCGGUGCACUCUUCUGCGGGCAGGCCAGCAUCAGUCUAGGCGGUUGGAUAAAGGUCUCUGUCAUGUACCUCUCUUCGGGGAGGCCUUAUAGGGGAGACGACAUGCAACCAGCCUGGACUGAGGUCCGCGCAUCUGCUAGGAUGCUGGCGUAAUGGCUGUAAGCGGCCCGUCUUGAAACACGGACCAAGGAGUCUAACAUCUAUGCGAGUGUUUGGGUGUCAAGCCCAGACGCGUAAUGAAAGUGAACGGAGGUGGGAACCCUUUGGGUGCACCAUCGACCGAUCCUGAUGUCUUCGGAUGGAUUUGAGUAAGAGCAUGGCUGUUGGGACCCGAAAGAUGGUGAACUAUGCUUGAAUAGGGUGAAGCCAGAGGAAACUCUGGUGGAGGCUCGCAGCGGUUCUGACGUGCAAAUCGAUCGUCAAAUUUGGGCAUAGGGGCGAAAGACUAAUCGAACUAUCUAGUAGCUGGUUCCUGCCGAAGUUUCCCUCAGGAUAGCAGUAACGUAUUCAGUUUUAUGAGGUAAAGCGAAUGAUUAGAGGCCUGGGGGUUGAAACAACCUUCACCUAUUCUCAAACUUUAAAUAUGUAAGAAGUCCUUGUUACUUGAUUGAACGUGGACACUUGAAUGUACCGUUACUAGUGGGCCAUUUUUGGUAAGCAGAACUGGCGAUGCGGGAUGAACCGAACGCGGGGUUAAGGUGCCAGAAUAUACGCUCAUCAGACACCACAAAAGGUGUUAGUUCAUCUAGACAGCAGGACGGUGGCCAUGGAAGUCGGAAUCCGCUAAGGAGUGUGUAACAACUCACCUGCCGAAUGAACUAGCCCUGAAAAUGGAUGGCGCUCAAGCGUAUUACCCAUACCCCGCCGCCGGGGCAGAAUUUAUGCCCCGGCGAGUAGGCAGGCGUGGAGGCUCGUGACGAAGCCUUGG
Molecule: ribosomal RNA, 1326 nt
Filed under: Neosetophoma samarorum
Lineage: Eukaryota; Fungi; Ascomycota; Dothideomycetes; Pleosporales; Phaeosphaeriaceae
Description: eukaryotic LSU rRNA
Rfam family: Eukaryotic large subunit ribosomal RNA
Source: RNAcentral